This 132-nucleotide small nuclear RNA is filed under the name Brettanomyces bruxellensis AWRI1499. Its description in RNAcentral is "U2 spliceosomal RNA". It matches the Rfam family "U2 spliceosomal RNA", at positions 1 to 130 of the family's 192-position model. From Rfam's summary of the family: U2 is a small nuclear RNA (snRNA) component of the spliceosome (involved in pre-mRNA splicing). Complementary binding between U2 snRNA (in an area lying towards the 5' end but 3' to hairpin I) and the branchpoint sequence (BPS) of the intron results the bulging out of an unpaired adenosine, on the BPS, which initiates a nucleophilic attack at the intronic 5' splice site, thus starting the first of two transesterification reactions that mediate splicing. The record is from Rfam by way of RNAcentral. Lineage: Eukaryota; Fungi; Ascomycota; Pichiomycetes; Pichiales; Pichiaceae.
AUCUCUUUGCCUUUUGGCUUAGAUCAUGUGUAGUAUCUGUUCUUUUCAGUGUAACAGCUGAAAUAACUUCUUCGGAAGUUAUCUUAUUAGUUACAAUUUAUUUUUGGCAAUUCUGAAGACGUUAGAUCGUCU